CCUCGCGUCGACAUCAGGUUAACCGUUCAAGGUGACGACCGAUUUCAUUACAUCGCAAUGACUUGCGUUGUGGUAAAAUUAUACCGCAAUGAACUGCGAGUGAUGCACAUCUGCGACCCGUGUUAUCAUCAGAUUCGUUCUACCAAGAAAGAGAUUCGCCAGUUUCGAAGAAAAUAGGUUAACUCACCACGUGCAACGAACCGCCUAGAAGAUGUUAAUACAACUACAUUAGACUUCAUUUAUAUUUAGCUAGAUACCUUGAAAUUUCGCAGUCUGACCGAACCAAUCGAC
RNAcentral lists this long non-coding RNA (291 nucleotides) under Pectinophora gossypiella (pink bollworm). RNAcentral describes it as "uncharacterized LOC126366681". The record is from RNAcentral. Lineage: Eukaryota; Metazoa; Arthropoda; Insecta; Lepidoptera; Gelechiidae.